RNAcentral lists this ribosomal RNA (306 nucleotides) under Amoebophrya sp. RNAcentral describes it as "SSU rRNA". It matches the Rfam family "Eukaryotic small subunit ribosomal RNA", at positions 595 to 906 of the family's 1831-position model. The record is from RNAcentral. Lineage: Eukaryota; Dinophyceae; Syndiniales; Amoebophryaceae.
UAGCGUAUAUUAAAGUUGUUGCGGUUAAAAAGUUCGUAGUUGGAUUUCUGUCGGAGACCUCCGGUCCGUACCAUGUGCGUGUAUCUGUAGGGUUCUGACAUCCUUCCGAAAGACGUCGCUAUGCUUAAUUGCACGGUGCGGAGUUCGGAACUUUUACUUUGAGGAAAUUAGAGUGUUCACGGCAGGCCAACGCCAUGAAUAUAUUAGCAUGGAAUAAUAAUAUAGGAUUUCGGUUCUAUUUUGUUGGUUUCUAGGGCUGAAAUAAUGAUUAAUAGGGACAAUUGGGGGCAUUCGUAUUCAAACGAC